Molecule: long non-coding RNA, 232 nt
Organism: Coccinella septempunctata (seven-spotted ladybird)
Lineage: Eukaryota; Metazoa; Arthropoda; Insecta; Coleoptera; Coccinellidae
Exons: 2
Source: RefSeq, a predicted model, not a curated record
GAAUGAAACAUUGUAUCUAUGAUAAGGAUCCAAAACCCCUAAGUUUGUUUAUAAGUGAAGAUCAAAAAUUUCAGCCCUCAGCCCUCAACAAGGGGGGAUAUUUAUUGAAAAUUACCAAAGUCAGGUAGCAGAACGAAUCGUCUGCUCAAAUACCAAUACAAAGUUCUUGGGAGGAGUUCAUACUGCCGACAAGGAUUGCCUUCUUGACUCAAGAAAAAUUAAACAAAUUGAG